Molecule: ribosomal RNA, 433 nt
Filed under: uncultured bacterium
Lineage: Bacteria
Description: partial 16S ribosomal RNA
Rfam family: Bacterial small subunit ribosomal RNA
Source: RNAcentral
AACGAACGCUGGCGGCAUGCCUAACACAUGCGAGUCGAACGAGACCUUCGGGUCUAGUGGCGCACGGGUGCGUAACGCGUGGGAACCUGCCCUUAGGUUCGGAAUAACUCAGAGAAAUUUGAGCUAAUACCGGAUAAUGUCUUCGGACCAAAGAUUUAUCGCCUUUGGAUGGGCCCGCGUAGGAUUAGCUUGUUGGUGGGGUAAUGGCCUACCAAGGCGACGAUCCUUAGCUGGUCUGAGAGGAUGAUCAGCCACACUGGGACUGAGACACGGCCCAGACUCCUACGGGAGGCAGCAGUGGGGAAUAUUGGACAAUGGGCGAAAGCCUGAUCCAGCAAUGCCGCGUGAGUGAUGAAGGCCUUAGGGUUGUAAAGCUCUUUUACCAGGGAUGAUAAUGACAGUACCUGGAGAAUAAGCGCCGGCUAACUCCGUG